This 253-nucleotide ribosomal RNA is filed under the name uncultured bacterium. RNAcentral's name for it is "partial 16S ribosomal RNA". It matches the Rfam family "Bacterial small subunit ribosomal RNA", at positions 524 to 776 of the family's 1533-position model. The record is from RNAcentral.
GACAGAGGUCCCGAGCGUUAGGCGGAAUCACUGGGCUUAAAGCGUGUGUAGGCGGAUUUGUAAGUACCUUGUGAAAUCCCACAGCUUAACUGUGGAACUGCUUGGUAUACUGCUUAUCUUGGGCCACUUAGGGGUUACCGGAACAAACGGUGGAGCGGUGAAAUGCGUAGAUAUCGUUUGGAACGCCAAUGGUGAAAACAGGUAACUGGGAGUGUGCCGACGCUGAGACACGAAAGCCAGGGGAGCGAACAGG